CCUACGGGUGGCAGCAGUGGGGAAUAUUGCACAAUGGGGGAAACCCUGAUGCAGCGACGCCGCGUGAGUGAAGAAGUAUUUCGGUAUGUAAAGCUCUAUCAGCAGGGAAGCAAAUGACGGUACCUGAUUAAGAAGCCCCGGCUAACGACGUGCCAGCAGCCGCGGGAAGACGUAGGGAGCAAGCGUUAUCCGGAUUUACUGGGUGUAAAGGGAGCGUAGACGGCAGGACAAGUCUGGAGUGAAAAGCCGGGGCUUAACCCCGGAACUGCCUUUGAAACUGUGCAGCUAGAGUGCAGGAGAGGUAAGUGGAAUGCGUGGUGUAGCGGUGAAAUGCGUAGAUAUUAGGAGGAACACCAGUGGCGAAGGCGGCUUACUGGACUGUAACUGACGUUGAGGCUCGAAAGCGUGGGGAGCGAACAGGAUUAGAUACCCUAGUAGUC
This 440-nucleotide ribosomal RNA is filed under the name uncultured bacterium. Its description in RNAcentral is "partial 16S ribosomal RNA". It matches the Rfam family "Bacterial small subunit ribosomal RNA", at positions 338 to 795 of the family's 1533-position model. The record is from RNAcentral.